UAGGGAAUAUUGCUUAAUGGGCGAAAGCCUGAACCUGCGACGCCGCGUGAGUGAUGAAGGUCGUAAGAUCGUAAAACUCUUUUCAGGGAUCUUAAAGCCUGUCUGUCAACAACAGGCAGGUCUGACUCUCCCCGGAAGAAGCCCCAGCCAACUACGUGCCAGCAGCUGCGGUAAUACGUAGGGGGCGAGCGUUAUUCGGAAUUACUGGGUGUAAAGGGUAUGUAGGCGGCCCUUCAAGUCGCGUGUCAAAGUCCAGUGCUCAACGCUGGGUGUGCACGCGAUACUGACGGGCUUGAGGGCUGGAGAGGUGAGCGGAAUUCCCGGUGUAGUGGUAAAAUACGUAGAGAUCGGGAGGAACACCAGCGGCGCAGGCGGCUCACUAGACAGUUUCUGACGCUAAGAUACGAAAGCGUGGGGAGCAAACA
This 425-nucleotide ribosomal RNA is filed under the name uncultured prokaryote. Its description in RNAcentral is "bacterial SSU rRNA". It matches the Rfam family "Bacterial small subunit ribosomal RNA", at positions 355 to 774 of the family's 1533-position model. The record is from RNAcentral.